AAGAAAAGAUCAAAGGGAUCAGAGGAUGGCCAGUAGGUUUUUUAUUUAUUUUUAAUUGAAGGAUAAUUCUUUACAGUAUUGUGCUGGUGUCUGUCAUACAUCAACAUGAAUCAGCCAUAGCUAUACAUAUGUCCCCUGCCUCUUAAACCUCCCCCCACCUCCCACCCCAUCCCACCUCUCUAGGUUAUCACAGAGCCCCACUUUCAGUUCCCUGAGUCAUACAGCAAAUUCCCACUGGCUAUCUAUUUCACAUAUGUUAGUGAAUAUGUCUCCGUUCUACUCUCUCCAUUCACCCCACCCUCUCCACCAUCCCCAUCCCCAUGUGCCUAAGUCUGUUCUCUACAUCUGCAUCUCCACGGCUGCCCUGCAAGUAGGUUCAUCGGUACCGUCUUUCUAGAUUCCAUAUACAUGCAUUAAUAUACGAUAUUUGUCUUUCUGACUGACUUCACUCUGUAUAAUAGGCUCUAGGUUCGUCCAUCUCAUGAGCACUGACUCAAAUGUUUUCCUUUUUAUGACUGAGUAACAUUCCAUUGUGUAUAUGUACCACAGCUUCUUUACCCAUUCACCUGUCAAUGGACAUCUAGGUUGCUUCCAUGCCCUAGCUAUUGUAACUAGUGCUGCGGUAAACAUUGGAGUACAUGUAACUUUUUUCAAUUAUGACUUUCUCAGGGUACAUGCCUAUGUGGGAUUGUUGGGUCAUAUGGUAGUUUUAUUCCUAGUUUUUAAAGGCAUCUCCAGUGCAAGAAGUCUCCCUUUUCUCUACACCCUCUCCAGCAUUUAUUGUUUGUAGAUUUUUUGUGUAAGCUCAUUAGGUUUUAGGUAUGCUGGCACUCAAGAAUAAGAGAAGAACUUUCCAGUUACGAGCACCCAAGGACCAGAAGAGGAAGGAACACAUUUCAAAUGGAAUCUACCCAGUUGGAGACCAAAGAAGACUGUCCAAAUCUCUGUACUCAUCUUGGCUGUGGGGUCCUGCUCUCGGCUCUGCCUCCGUGUGUGUCUGCUUUGUGUCAGGCUGGCUUCCUCCAUGGCGGCGGGGUAGCCCUCAUCAUCAGCACUCAGAGCAAAGGCUGUCUUGUUC
Molecule: long non-coding RNA, 1078 nt
Organism: Bos taurus (domestic cattle)
Lineage: Eukaryota; Metazoa; Chordata; Mammalia; Artiodactyla; Bovidae
Source: Ensembl